AGCUUACCAGUGAUGUCCAAAAAUAAAUGUCUGAACAAAUGACUGUCCAGUGAUAACAUGUUAGGUCUGAGGUGAGCU
Molecule: small nucleolar RNA, 78 nt
Organism: Puntigrus tetrazona (Sumatra barb)
Lineage: Eukaryota; Metazoa; Chordata; Actinopteri; Cypriniformes; Cyprinidae
Product: small nucleolar RNA SNORD72
Exons: 1
Source: RefSeq, a predicted model, not a curated record